This 253-nucleotide ribosomal RNA is filed under the name uncultured bacterium. Its description in RNAcentral is "partial 16S ribosomal RNA". It matches the Rfam family "Bacterial small subunit ribosomal RNA", at positions 524 to 776 of the family's 1533-position model. The record is from RNAcentral.
UACGGGGGGGGCAAGCGUUGUCCGGAAUUAUUGGGCGUAAAGAGCUCGUAGGCGGUCUGUUGCGUCCGCUGUGAAAACUCGGGGCUUAACCCCGAGCCUGCAGUGGAUACGGGCAGACUAGAGGUAGGUAGGGGAGAAUGGAAUUCCCGGUGUAGCGGUGAAAUGCGCAGAUAUCGGGAGGAACACCGGUGGCGAAGGCGGUUCUCUGGGCCUUACCUGACGCUGAGGAGCGAAAGCCAGGGGAGCAAACGGG